RNAcentral lists this ribosomal RNA (413 nucleotides) under uncultured prokaryote. Its description in RNAcentral is "bacterial SSU rRNA". It matches the Rfam family "Bacterial small subunit ribosomal RNA", at positions 505 to 918 of the family's 1533-position model. The record is from RNAcentral.
GUGCCAGCAGCCGCGGUAAUACGUAUGGGGCGAGCGUUGUUCGGAGUUAUUGGGCGUAAAGGGCGUGUAGGCGGCGCGCGGCGUCCGGUGUGAAAACGCAGGGCUCAACCCUGCGGUUGCGCUGGAAACGGGCGUGCUGGAGUCCCGGGGGGGAAGCUGGAAUUCCUGGUGUAGGAGUGAAAUCUGUAGAGAUCAGGAAGAACACCGGUGGCGAAGGCGAGCUUCUAUUCGAGGACUGACGCUGAGGCGCGAAAGCGUGGGGAGCAAACAGGAUUAGAUACCCUGGUAGUCCACGCUGUAAACGAUGUGCACUAGGCGUGGGGCACGUCGGUGCUCUGUGCCGUAGCUAACGCGAUAAGUGCACCGCCUGGGGAGUAUGCUCGCAAGGGUGAAACUUAAAUGAAUUGACGGGG